GGUACGGCUGUUCGCCGUUUAAAGAGGUACGUGAGCUGGGUUUAGAACGUCGUGAGACAGUUCGGUCCCUAUCUGCCGUGGGUGUAGGAUACUUGAGAGGAGUUGCCCCUAGUACGAGAGGACCGGGGUGAACGAUCCACUGGUGGACCUGUUGUGGCGCCAGCCGCAGUGCAGGGUAGCUAUGAUCGGAAAGGAUAACCGCUGAAGGCAUCUAAGCGGGAAGCCCCCCUCAAAACAAGGUAUCCCUGAGGGCCGUGGUAGACCACCACGUCGAUAGGCCGGAGGUGUAAGCGCAGCAAUGCGUUCAGCUGACCGGUACUAAUGGCCCGAUAGGCUUGAUUUG
RNAcentral lists this ribosomal RNA (343 nucleotides) under Marivita cryptomonadis. Its description in RNAcentral is "partial 23S ribosomal RNA". It matches the Rfam family "Bacterial large subunit ribosomal RNA", at positions 2570 to 2925 of the family's 2925-position model. Lineage: Bacteria; Pseudomonadati; Pseudomonadota; Alphaproteobacteria; Rhodobacterales; Roseobacteraceae. The record is from RNAcentral.